Molecule: unclassified non-coding RNA, 217 nt
Filed under: soil metagenome
Description: partial contains 5.8S ribosomal RNA, internal transcribed spacer 2, and large subunit ribosomal RNA
Source: RNAcentral
AAGACUAUAGACCUGCGGAGUACCUGCGGAGGGAUCAUUAUCGAGUUUACAACUCCCAAACCAUUGUGAAUCUUACCUUUUCGUUGCUUCGGCGGGAUCGCCCCGGGCGCUUCGGUGCCCCGGAUUCAGGCGCCCGCCGGGGGACCUAAACUCUUGUAUUAUAGUGGAUUUCUGAGUGGAUUACACAAAUAAUCAAAACUUUUAGCAAUGGAUCUCU